Molecule: long non-coding RNA, 409 nt
Filed under: Homo sapiens (human)
Lineage: Eukaryota; Metazoa; Chordata; Mammalia; Primates; Hominidae
Description: non-protein coding lnc-CCZ1B-1:2
Source: RNAcentral
GGGAGCUCUAUGUUAUUUUGAAUCAAAAAAAUGCAAACCUGAUUGAAGUAAAUGAAGAGGUCAAGAAACUUUGUGCAACGCAGUUCAACAACAUCUUCUUCUUGGAUUGACGGAUGACGGCUCACCGAGAGCAUAUCUAAAAAACACUCUGCAAACAUUUGGUCACAUGCAAGUUAGUGGUCAUAUGACGGACUGCAUUCAGGACAAGGAUUACACUGGCCACCAGCUCCGUGACCCAGGCUGGAAUGCAAUGGCUCACUGCAGCCUCAACCUCCUGAGCUCAAGCAAUCCUCCCACCUCAGCCUCCCAAGAAGCUAGAACCACAUGUACACACCACCACGGAAAUUACGGCUUGUCCGGAAAGCACUUGGUCCUGAUGCGUUCUGGCAGCUACGGAAGACAGGAAGAG